RNAcentral lists this ribosomal RNA (588 nucleotides) under Entoloma indutoides. RNAcentral describes it as "partial small subunit ribosomal RNA". It matches the Rfam family "Bacterial small subunit ribosomal RNA", at positions 364 to 925 of the family's 1533-position model. Lineage: Eukaryota; Fungi; Basidiomycota; Agaricomycetes; Agaricales; Entolomataceae. The record is from RNAcentral.
UUAGUCAAUGCUCGCAAGAGUGAACUAGCUAACUGAAAUCACAAGAACCAUAAAAUGUGGUGAAUGUAAUAACGUAAGGGAAAAAAAUGAUAUUACCUUACUAUUAGUGUUGUCCAAAACUGGUGCCAGAAGACUCGGUAAGGCCAGAGACGCAAACGUUAGUCGUCCUAAUCAGGCGUAAAGGGUAUGUAGGCUGCUUUAAAACUUUUAUGUUUAAUAGCUAAUGUAAAAAAUAAAAAAAAAAUAAAAAUAUUAAAAAAACAUUAAUGUUUUUUACAUUAAAAUAUAAAAUUAAUUAAAGCUAGGAUCAAAUUGAGGAUAAUUGAAAUAAUACCUAGUGUAGGGUUUAAAUCUGUUGAUGUUAGGUAGAGUACUAACGGUGAAAGCUUUUAUCUAAAAAUGAUUGACGCUGAGAAACGAAGGUGAGAAUAGGAAAUAGGAUUAGAUACCCAGAUACCUCUCACAGUCAACGAUGAAUGGUGGUUGUUAGUUAGUUUUAUUUAACUGAUAACGAUGUUAACACGAUAACCAUUCCGCCUUGCGAGUACGGUUGCAAAACUGAAACCAAAAAAAUUAGUCGGUCUCGAA